This 87-nucleotide transfer RNA is filed under the name Candidatus Hydrogenedentes bacterium ADurb.Bin170. Its description in RNAcentral is "tRNA-Leu". It matches the Rfam family "tRNA". From Rfam's summary of the family: Transfer RNA (tRNA) molecules are approximately 80 nucleotides in length. Their secondary structure includes four short double-helical elements and three loops (D, anti-codon, and T loops). The record is from RNAcentral. RNAcentral also lists the same sequence under 1 other name. Lineage: Bacteria; Pseudomonadati; Candidatus Hydrogenedentota.
GCCCGGGUGGUGGAAAUGGCAGACACGCUAGACUAAGGAUCUAGUCCCAGCGAUGGGGUGCGAGUUCGAUUCUCGCCUCGGGCACCA